RNAcentral lists this ribosomal RNA (370 nucleotides) under Fusarium sp. ITS1d. Its description in RNAcentral is "eukaryotic LSU rRNA". The stretch from base 78 to 232 matches the Rfam family "5.8S ribosomal RNA". The record is from RNAcentral. Lineage: Eukaryota; Fungi; Ascomycota; Sordariomycetes; Hypocreales; Nectriaceae.
CCGCUCCCGGUAAAAGGACGCGCCAGAGGACCCUAAAUCUGUUUCUAAGUAACUCUGAGAAAACCAUAAAUAAUCAAAACUUUCAACAACGGAUCUCUUGGUUCUGGCAUCGAUGAAGAACGCAGCAAAAUGCGAUAAGUAAUGUGAAUUGCAGAAUUCAGUGAAUCAUCGAAUCUUUGGAACGCACAUUGCGCCCGCCAGUAUUCUGGCGGGCAUGCCUGUUCGAGCGUCAUUUCACCCUCACGGUUUGGUGUUGGGGAUCGCGAGCCUUCGGCCCCGAAAUCUGUGGCGGUCUCGCUGAGCUUUGCGUAGUAGUAACCCUCGCAACUGGUACGCGGCGCGGACAAGCCGUUAAACCCCAACUUCUGAA